Molecule: ribosomal RNA, 484 nt
Filed under: uncultured bacterium
Lineage: Bacteria
Description: partial 16S ribosomal RNA
Rfam family: Bacterial small subunit ribosomal RNA
Source: RNAcentral
GACGAACGCUGGCGGCGUGCUUAACACAUGCAAGUCGAACGAUGAACCCGGAGCUUGCUCCGGCGGAUUAGUGGCGAACGGGUGAGUAACACGUGAGUAACCUGACCUUGACUCUGGGAUAACUGCUAGAAAUGGUAGCUAAUACCGGAUACGACCCUCGGUGGCAUCACCAGGGGGUGGAAAGAAUUUCGGUCAAGGAUGGACUCGCGGCCUAUCAGCUAGUUGGGGGGGUAACGGCUCACCAAGGCGACGACGGGUAGCCGGCCUGAGAGGUUGACCGGACACACUGGAACGGAGACACGGCCCAGACGCCUACGGGAGGCAGCAGUGGGGAAUAUUGCACAAUGGGCGCAAGCCUGAUGCAGCAACGCCGCGUGAGGGAUGACGGCCUUCGGGUUGUAAACGUCUUUUAGUAGGGAAGAAGCGAAAGUGACGGUACCUGCAGAAAAAGCACCGGCUAACUACGUGCCAGCCGCCGCGGUAA